CACGUAGUUAGCCGUGGCUUUCUGACGAGGUACCGUCAAGGUACGAGCAGUUACUCUCGUACGUGUUCUUCCCUCGCAACAGAGCUUUACGAUCCGAAAACCUUCUUCGCUCACGCGGCGUUGCUCCAUCAGACUUUCGUCCAUUGUGGAAGAUUCCCUACUGCUGCCUCCCGUAGGAGUCUGGGCCGUGUCUCAGUCCCAGUGUGGCCGAUCACCCUCUCAGGUCGGCUACGCAUCGUCGCCUUGGUACGGCCGUUACCCCACCAACUAGCUAAGUGCGCCGCGGGCCCAUCCUGCAGUGACAGCCGAAACCGUCUUCGAGUACGUUCCUCCAGUCGCGGAGGUAACUGAUUAUUCGGUAUUACGCCCCGGUUUCCCGGAGUUAC
This 386-nucleotide ribosomal RNA is filed under the name uncultured Sporosarcina sp. RNAcentral describes it as "partial 16S ribosomal RNA". The record is from RNAcentral. Lineage: Bacteria; Bacillati; Bacillota; Bacilli; Caryophanales; Caryophanaceae.